GACGAACGCUGGCGGCGUGCUUAACACAUGCAAGUCGAACGGAAAGGCCCUGCUUUUGUGGGGUGCUCGAGUGGCGAACGGGUGAGUAACACGUGAGUAACCUGCCCUUGACUUUGGGAUAACUUCAGGAAACUGGGGCUAAUACCGGAUAGGAGCUCCUGCUGCAUGGUGGGGGUUGGAAAGUUUCGGCGGUUGGGGAUGGACUCGCGGCUUAUCAGCUUGUUGGUGGGGUAGUGGCUUACCAAGGCUUUGACGGGUAGCCGGCCUGAGAGGGUGACCGGCCUCAUUGGUACUGAGAUACGUCCCAGCCUCCUACGGGAGGCAGCAGUGGGGAAUAUUGCACAAUGGGCGGAACCCUGAUGCAGCAACGCCGCGUGCGGGAUGACGGCCUUCGUGUUGUAAACCGCUUUCGCCUGUGACGAAGCGUGAGUGACGGUAAUGGGUAAAGAAGCACCGGCUAACUACGUG
This 468-nucleotide ribosomal RNA is filed under the name uncultured bacterium. Its description in RNAcentral is "partial 16S ribosomal RNA". It matches the Rfam family "Bacterial small subunit ribosomal RNA", at positions 28 to 507 of the family's 1533-position model. The record is from RNAcentral.